RNAcentral lists this transfer RNA (66 nucleotides) under Ludioschema sulcicolle. RNAcentral's name for it is "tRNA-Met". Lineage: Eukaryota; Metazoa; Arthropoda; Insecta; Coleoptera; Elateridae. The record is from RNAcentral.
AAAAAGAUAAGCUAAGUCUAAGCUUUUGGGUUCAUACCCCAAGUAUAAAGUAACCUUUUCUUUUUA